CCUGGCGGCACUAGCGCGGUGGUCCCACCUGACCCAAUGCCGAACUCAGAAGUGAAACGCCGUAGCGCCGAUGGUAGUGUGGGGUCUCCCCAUGUGAG
RNAcentral lists this ribosomal RNA (98 nucleotides) under Klebsiella pneumoniae. Lineage: Bacteria; Pseudomonadati; Pseudomonadota; Gammaproteobacteria; Enterobacterales; Enterobacteriaceae. The record is from RNAcentral.